AAUCCUAUUAUCUGGGUGCUAGUGC
RNAcentral lists this microRNA (25 nucleotides) under Echinops telfairi (small Madagascar hedgehog). RNAcentral describes it as "Ete-Mir-362-P6_5p* (star (passenger))". The record is from RNAcentral. Lineage: Eukaryota; Metazoa; Chordata; Mammalia; Afrosoricida; Tenrecidae.